Molecule: non-coding RNA, 21 nt
Filed under: Caenorhabditis elegans
Lineage: Eukaryota; Metazoa; Nematoda; Chromadorea; Rhabditida; Rhabditidae
Source: RNAcentral
UGAUUCACAUUUUUCCAUUUC